CCCCCUUCCCACCUACAACCUCCUAAACAGAACAAAUACUGUAAUACAGACGACUACACCAAACACACACACACACACAUCACACCACUACAGGAACCAAACCUAGCCUGGGUUGUGAACAAGAAGGAUGGGGGGGAGAUCGAUAAUAACAGAAAAAUGAGAACAAGAGAAAGGUAGAGUGAGAGGAAUUAUUGCUAUCGCUGGAUACAGCAGAGAAAACAGGAGAGGACACACACAGCUGCAGUCACACACUCCAAACAGACGCCUACAACUCCCAGCAACCCUGGCAGUGGACGGGGCUUAUGAUGGUGUGGAGGGUGGAGGGAUUGGAUGAACUUGAUUGAGCUCCGACCACACUGCACCAGGGUGAAGUUUCCACUAGGGACAGAUCUAGGAUCAGCUUCCCCUCCCCCAGUCAUAACUGAACAUGACAGGACUGCAGUGGACAGCUGCUGUCUUGCAGGCUCCUGACCAAUUCUGCCCCCCCCCACCAUUUUUUUUUUAGUGGUCUUAACUUAUUUAUUUUACAUAAUGUUUCCGAGAUCAUUUCCUACAACCGAAAACAUCUUCUGGACAUCAGAACAGCGAUCACUAACCUCGAUUUGGAUUUGGAUUUCUACUUCAACGAGUCGGCAGCUGUGGAUGUACUGCUCGUUCCGGACCAGGCCCUAAUCCACGGGGACUGGAAAGAGGAAGAGAGGCAGACGAGCUAAAUAAACCACCUCUACAACCUCAUCUUCCUCGUCUCCUCCUCCUCCUCCUCUCCGCUGUUCUAUUGUACACUGGAGAACAACCCGGACGAGAUCCAUUCGAGACUAUCCCAUCAACAAGACGCCAACAACCCGGACGAGAUCCAUUCGAGACUAUCCUAUCAACAAGACCCCAACAACCCGGACGAGAUCCAUUCGAGACUAUCCCAUCAACAAGACCCCAACAACCCGGAUGAGAUCCAUUCGAGACUAUCCUAUCAACAAGACCCCAACAACCCGGACGAGAUCCAUUCGAGACUAUCCUAUCAACAAGACCCCAACAACCCGGACGAGAUCCAUUCGAGACUAUCCUAUCAACAAGACCCCAACAACCCGGACGAGAUCCAUUCGAGACUAUCCCAUCAACAAGACCCCAACAACCCGGACGAGAUCCAUUCGAGACUAUCCCAUCAACAAGACCCCAACAACCCGGACGAGAUCCAUUCGAGACUAUCCCAUCAACAAGACCCCAACAACCUGGAUGAGAUCCAUUCAAGACUAUCCCAUCAACAAGACCCCAACAACCCGGACGAGAUCCAUUCGAGACUAUCCUAUCAACAAGACCCCAACAACCUGGACGAGAUCCAUUCGAGACUAUCCCAUCAACAAGACCCCAACAACCUGGAUGAGAUCCAUUCGAGACUAUCCCAUCAACAAGACCCCAACAACCUGGAUGAGAUCCAUUCGAGACUAUCCCAUCAACAAGACCCCAACAACUGUAAUAUCCUAUGCUUUUCAGAAUCAUGACUGAAUAAGGACAUUAUAAACUGAGUGUACAAAACAUUAGGAACACAUGCUCUUUUCCAUGACAUAGACUGACCAGGUGAAUCCAGGUGAAAGCUAUGAUCCCUCAUUGAUAGCUCAGCAUUCAACACCAUUGUGCCCUUCAAACUCAUCACUAAGAUCAGGACCCUGGGACUGAACACCUCCCUCUGCAAGUGGAUCCCGGACUUCCUGACGGGCCGCCCCCAGGUGGUAAGGGUAGGUGACAACACAUCCACCACGCUGACUCUCAACAAGGGGACCCCUCAGGGGUGAUUCCUGUACCCCCUGUUCACCCACGAUUGCAUGACUCCAACACCAUCAUUAGGUUUACUGACGACUCGACGGUGGUUGGCCUGAUGAGACAGCCUAUAGGGAGGAGGUCAGAGACCUGGCAGUGUGGUGUCAGGACAACAACCUCUCCCUCAACGAUGAGACAGCCUAUAGGGAGGAGGUCAGCCGAGCACAUUGAUGGGGCUGCAGUGGAGCGAGUCGAGAGUUUAAAGUUCCUUGGUGUCCACAUCAAUAAGGAAUUAUCAUGGUCCACACACACACAAUACAGUCGUGAAGAGAGCAUGACAACGCCUCUUUCCUCUCAGGAAGAAGAUUCAGCAUGAGUCCUCAGAUCCUCAGAAAGUUCUACAGCUGCGCCAUUGAGAGCAUCUUGACUGGCUGCUUCACCACUUGGUAUGGUAACGGCUUGGCAUCUGACCGUAAGACGCUACAGAAGGUAGUGUGUACGGCCCAGUUCAUCACUGGGACCAAGCUUCCUGCCAUCAAGGACCUCUAUCCCAGGUGGUGUCAGAGGAAGGUCCUAACAAUAGUCAAAGACUCCAGCCACCCCAGUCACAGACAGUUCUCUCUGCUACCGCACGGCGAGCGGUUCCGAUGCACCAAGUCUGGAACCAACAGGAUCCUGAACAGCUUCGACCUCCAAGGCAUAAGACUACUAAAUAGUUAGUUAAAUAGUUAGUUAAAUAGUUAGUUAAAUAGCUACCCAGAUUGAUCUGCAUUGAACCUUAUUCCACUAACUUUUUUUGGACUCUUCACAUACACUGCUGCUACGGUUUAUUAUCUAUCCUGCUGCUUAGUCACUUUAUCCCUAUAUGUACAUAUCGACCUCAAUUACAUCGUACACCUGCACAUCGACUGGGUACUGGCAGUGGUGGAAAGUACCCAAUUGUCAUACUUGAGUAAAAGUAAUGAUACCUUAAUUGAAAAUGACUCAAGUAAAAGUAAAGGUCACCUAGUAAAAUACUACUUGAGUUAAAGUCUAAAAAUAUUUGGUUUAAAAUGUACUUAAUUAUCAAAAAUAUAUGUAAUUGUUAAAAUAUACUUAAGUAUCAAAAGUAAAAGUAAAAGUAUAAAUAAUUUCAAAUUCCUUAUAUUUAGCAAACCAGACGGCACAGUUUACUUGUUUGCAAAAUUUACAGGUAACCAGGGGAACACUCCAACACUCAGACAUCAUUUACAGACAGCCAGGGGAACACUCCAACACUCAGACAUCAUUUACAGACAGCCAGGGGAACACUCCAACACUCAGACAUCAUUUACAGAUAGCCAGGGGAACACUCCAACACUCAGACAUCAUUACAGAUAGCCAGGGAACACUCCAACACUCA
Long non-coding RNA from Oncorhynchus tshawytscha (Chinook salmon), 3133 nucleotides. NCBI's taxonomy places the organism in Eukaryota, Metazoa, Chordata, Actinopteri, Salmoniformes, Salmonidae. The record is from Ensembl.